CCCAUACCCAUGUGUGUAGGACCCCAAAUGAUCACCAUUAAAUUUGGCACAUAUCGUUAGAAAAGUUAUCACAUGGGUAUGAGACUUGACUUUUCUUGAGAUCUGUGUCAAAUUUAAUGGUGAUCAUUUAGGGUCCUACACACAUGGGUGUGGG
This 154-nucleotide microRNA precursor is filed under the name Amborella trichopoda. RNAcentral describes it as "MIR8565 microRNA precursor family". It matches the Rfam family "MIR8565 microRNA precursor family". Lineage: Eukaryota; Viridiplantae; Streptophyta; Magnoliopsida; Amborellales; Amborellaceae. The record is from Rfam by way of RNAcentral.